UACAGAGGUCCCGAGCGUUAGGCGGAAUCACUGGGCUUAAAGCGUGUGUAGGUGGAUCGUUAAGUACCUUGUGAAAUCCCACGGCUUAACCGUGGAACUGCUUGGUAUACUGGCGGUCUUGAGCCAGCUAGGGGCUACCGGAACAAAUGGUGGAGCGGUGAAAUGCGUAGAUAUCGGGAGGAACACCAGUGGCGAAGGCGACUUCCUGGCCUGUUCUUGACGCUGAGGCGCGAAAGCUAGGGGAGCAAACGGG
This 253-nucleotide ribosomal RNA is filed under the name uncultured bacterium. Its description in RNAcentral is "partial 16S ribosomal RNA". It matches the Rfam family "Bacterial small subunit ribosomal RNA", at positions 524 to 776 of the family's 1533-position model. The record is from RNAcentral.